This 73-nucleotide transfer RNA is filed under the name Stegodyphus mimosarum. It matches the Rfam family "tRNA". From Rfam's summary of the family: Transfer RNA (tRNA) molecules are approximately 80 nucleotides in length. The record is from Rfam by way of RNAcentral. Lineage: Eukaryota; Metazoa; Arthropoda; Arachnida; Araneae; Eresidae.
GCCUUCGUGGUGUAAUGGUCAGCACACUGAGCCGGUAUUUCAGAGGUCGGCGGUUCGAUUCCCGGCGAAGGAA